GCCGGUAUAACUCAGUUAGCAGAGUGUCAAAUUUGUAAUUUGAAUGUCGUGGGUGCAAUUCCUACUACCGGCU
RNAcentral lists this transfer RNA (73 nucleotides) under bacterium. RNAcentral describes it as "tRNA-Thr". It matches the Rfam family "tRNA". From Rfam's summary of the family: Transfer RNA (tRNA) molecules are approximately 80 nucleotides in length. The record is from RNAcentral.